UACGGAGGGUGCGAGCGUUGUCCGGAAUCACUGGGCGUAAAGGGCGCGUAGGCGGCGCGGGAAGUCAACGGUGAAAGCUCGGAGCUCAACUCCGAGUCGGCCGUCGAUACUCCCGUGCUUGAGCACUGUAGAGGCAGAUGGAAUUCCGGGUGUAGCGGUGGAAUGCGUAGAGAUCCGGAAGAACACCGGUGGCGAAGGCGGUCUGCUGGGCAGUAGCUGACGCUGAUGCGCGACAGCGUGGGGAGCAAACAGG
This 253-nucleotide ribosomal RNA is filed under the name uncultured bacterium. Its description in RNAcentral is "partial 16S ribosomal RNA". It matches the Rfam family "Bacterial small subunit ribosomal RNA", at positions 524 to 776 of the family's 1533-position model. The record is from RNAcentral.